Small nuclear RNA from Mesocricetus auratus (golden hamster), 159 nucleotides. Its record names the gene U1. It matches the Rfam family "U1 spliceosomal RNA". Rfam says of the family: U1 is a small nuclear RNA (snRNA) component of the spliceosome (involved in pre-mRNA splicing). Its 5' end forms complementary base pairs with the 5' splice junction, thus defining the 5' donor site of an intron. There are significant differences in sequence and secondary structure between metazoan and yeast U1 snRNAs, the latter being much longer (568 nucleotides as compared to 164 nucleotides in human). Lineage: Eukaryota; Metazoa; Chordata; Mammalia; Rodentia; Cricetidae. The record is from Ensembl.
ACAUCUACCUGGCAGGAGAGAUACCAGGAUCAAGAAGAUGGUUUUCCGAAAGUGAGGCUUGUCCAUUGCACUCCAGAUGUGCUGACCUCUUCAAUUUCCCCAAAUUCGAGAAAUAGCAUAAUUUGUGGUAGUAGGGGGCUGCAUUUGUGUUCUCUUCUG